GAUUAGAUACCCUGGUAGUCCACGCCGUAAACGAUGCAUGCUAGACGUUGGAGGUUUAGGCCUCUUGUGUCGCAGCUAACGCACUAAGCAUGCCGCCUGGGGAGUACGGCCGCAAGGUUGAAACUCAAAUGAAUUGACGGGGGCCCGCACAAGCGGUGGAGUAUGUGGUUUAAUUCGACGCAACGCGAAGAACCUUACCAGCCUUUGACAUGUCCAUUAUGGGUCUGAGAGAUCAGAUCCUUCGGUUCGGCCGGGUGGAACACAGGUGCUGCAUGGCUGUCGUCAGCUCGUGUCGUGAGAUGUUGGGUUAAGUCCCGCAACGAGCGCAACCCUCAUCUUUAGUUGCCCCCGGGUCAGGCCGGGCACUCUAAAGAAACCGCCGGUGACAAGCCGGAGGAAGGCGGGGAUGACGUCAAGUCCUCAUGGCCCUUACAGGCUGGGCUACACACGUACUACAAUGGUGGUGACAGAGGGCAGCGAACCCGCGAGGGGGAGCCAAUCCUCAAAAGCCAUCUCAGUUCGGAUUGCACUCUGCAACUCGGGUGCAUGAAGUUGGAAUCGCUAGUAAUCGCAGAUCAGCACGCUGCGGUGAAUACGUUCCCGGGCCUUGUACACACCGCCCGUCACGCCAUGGAAGUUGGUUUUACCUGAAGCCGGCGAGCUAACCGCAAGGAGGCAGCCGACCACGGUAAGGUUAAUGACUGGGGCGAAGUCGUAACAAGGUAGCCGUAA
Molecule: ribosomal RNA, 732 nt
Filed under: uncultured Rhodospirillaceae bacterium
Lineage: Bacteria; Pseudomonadati; Pseudomonadota; Alphaproteobacteria; Rhodospirillales; Rhodospirillaceae
Description: bacterial SSU rRNA
Rfam family: Bacterial small subunit ribosomal RNA
Source: RNAcentral